RNAcentral lists this ribosomal RNA (1338 nucleotides) under uncultured bacterium. RNAcentral's name for it is "bacterial SSU rRNA". It matches the Rfam family "Bacterial small subunit ribosomal RNA", at positions 36 to 1378 of the family's 1533-position model. The record is from RNAcentral.
UUGGGCGGCAGGCUUAACACAUGCAAGUCGAACGGCAGCACGGGAGCAAUCCUGGUGGCGAGUGGCGAACGGGUGAGUAAUAUAUCGGAACGUGCCCAGUCGUGGGGGAUAACGCAGCGAAAGCUGUGCUAAUACCGCAUACGAUCUAUGGAUGAAAGCGGGGGAUCGCAAGACCUCGCGCGAUUGGAGCGGCCGAUAUCAGAUUAGGUAGUUGGUGGGUAAAGGCUCACCAAGCCGACGAUCUGUAGCUGGUCUGAGAGGACGACCAGCCACACUGGAACUGAGACACGGUCCAGACUCCUACGGGAGGCAGCAGUGGGGAAUUUUGGACAAUGGGCGCAAGCCUGAUCCAGCAAUGCCGCGUGCAGGAUGAAGGCCUUCGGGUUGUAAACUGCUUUUGUACGGAACGAAAGGGCUCUGGUUAAUACCUGGGGCAUAUGACGGUACCGUAAGAAUAAGCACCGGCUAACUACGUGCCAGCAGCCGCGGUAAUACGUAGGGUGCGAGCGUUAAUCGGAAUUACUGGGCGUAAAGCGUGCGCAGGCGGUAAUGCAAGACAGAUGUGAAAUCCCCGGGCUUAACCUGGGAACUGCAUUUGUGACUGCAUUGCUGGAGUGCGGCAGAGGGGGAUGGAAUUCCGCGUGUAGCAGUGAAAUGCGUAGAUAUGCGGAGGAACACCGAUGGCGAAGGCAAUCCCCUGGGCCUGCACUGACGCUCAUGCACGAAAGCGUGGGGACCAAACAGGAUUAGAUACCCUGGUAGUCCACGCCCUAAACGAUGUCAACUGGUUGUUGGGUCUUAACUGACUCAGUAACGAAGCUAACGCGUGAAGUUGACCGCCUGGGGAGUACGNCCGCAAGNUGAAAUCAAAGAAUUGNCGGGGACCCGCACAAGCGGUGGAUGAUGUGGUUUAAUUCGAUNNAACGCGAAAAACCUUACCCACCUUUGACAUGUAUGGAAUCCUUUAGAGAUGAAGGAGUGCUCGAAAGAGAGCCAUAACACAGGUGCUGCAUGGCUGUCGUCAGCUCGUGUCGUGAGAUGUUGGGUUAAGUCCCGCAACGAGCGCAACCCUUGCCAUUAGUUGCUACGAAAGGGCACUCUAAUGGGACUGCCGGUGAUAAACCGGAGGAAGGUGGGGAUGACGUCAAGUCCUCAUGGCCCUUAUAGGUGGGGCUACACACGUCAUACAAUGGCUGGUACAAAGGGUUGCCAACCCGCGAGGGGGAGCUAAUCCCAUAAAACCAGUCGUAGUCCGGAUCGCAGUCUGCAACUCGACUGCGUGAAGUCGGAAUCGCUAGUAAUCGUGGAUCAGAAUGUCACGGUGAAUACUUCCCCUGN